UUAACUGAAGCCAAAACAAAGAGGCUUUUCAUUGUUAAUGAAACUAUUGAUUAAUUAAUCCAGUUAAA
Molecule: transfer RNA, 68 nt
Filed under: Picromerus lewisi
Lineage: Eukaryota; Metazoa; Arthropoda; Insecta; Hemiptera; Pentatomidae
Also listed under: 1 other name
Description: tRNA-Asn
Source: RNAcentral